Molecule: long non-coding RNA, 1156 nt
Organism: Lingula anatina
Lineage: Eukaryota; Metazoa; Brachiopoda; Lingulata; Lingulida; Lingulidae
Source: RefSeq, a predicted model, not a curated record
CUUUACAAUAACACGCUAACGGUGCCUCGACCAUUAAAAAUUCAGGUUGUUAAAUUAUGAUAAGAAUAAGUACCACACUGUCAUCCAUGAAUUGGUUAUUGUCAGCAUACGUACAUAUGUUGAUUCGGCAGCAGGCAUUUGUCAUAUACAUAAGCACAGUGUACGAGCGGCACCUGCCAGACGGUUAAACAGGUGAACUUGUCUGCUCACGGUGCAGCUUUUGUAGAAAUCUCCAGUAAGCAGUAUGAAGCUGGUCGGUUUGAUAGUAGUGGUUCUAGCUGUCACGUACAGCCAGGCCGCCCACUUAACCAGCCACAGUUCCUAUCCUGGACACUACCCCGGUUACUAUCCCGGCUACUACCCCCCGAAGUACCCGUCAUAUUCGUCCUACCCUAAACCUUACUACGGCCUCAGCUACAACCCGUACUUCAAAGGCUACCCAGACUACGCGGACGCCUACAAGAGAAACUACCAAUACGCCGGAUACAUCGGAUAUCCUGGAUAUGGCUACGGAUACCCAGGUUAUGGGGGUGGAUACAAAUACCCUUCUCCGUACGGAUACCCUCACCGUUAUCAUGGAUAGAUGCUUCCAUUACUUUUUAAGGCGAAUAUUUUAAGUCUUAGUCAACAAGUGCAACUCCUUGGAGCAGCUCUGGUUGAAGUCUCAGUGAACUGUGACGGAAAAUUAUGAACUUUGAGGUGUCAGUGAAGUUUAAGCGUUGACGGUCCAUUUUGCUACAGUCAAGAGAAACUGCCGAAUAAAACGUGUCUAUAUGGGCGUUGUAUAGUUACAUGGAGUAACCGCUUCUAACACUUCUACUUGUACAUGAAUACUGUGGAAAGCGCAUGCUGGCUAUAUGUAUUUGAAGUCGGACACAUAUCUUCUCCUCGAAGUAAAGUAUUUUUGUACCACAAACAUACUCCAAAUUGCAUUCGCUUACAUCAUGCUUAAAUAUUGAAUUUAACAAAAAUGAGCCAAAGAGUUCUGCAAUGAAAGUUACACAGAGGUGAAUGAAUUACUGAUAGGAAACAUUUGCUUUCCAAAAUUGCCAUAUAAGUCAUGCAUUUUUGCUCUGUGGUUCUACAUUUGUAAUAAGUUAUCUUGCUGGACCAAAGACGUUGAACAUAGAGGUAACAAUAAACAUCCGAAAAUUGA